RNAcentral lists this ribosomal RNA (253 nucleotides) under uncultured bacterium. Its description in RNAcentral is "partial 16S ribosomal RNA". It matches the Rfam family "Bacterial small subunit ribosomal RNA", at positions 524 to 776 of the family's 1533-position model. The record is from RNAcentral.
UACGGAGGGUGCAAGCGUUGUCCGGAAUCACUGGGCGUAAAGGGCGCGUAGGCGGCUCAUGAAGGCUGUGGUGAAAGUCCGGGGCUCAACCUCGGAUCGGCCGUGGCGACUCGUGGGCUGGAGCACUGUAGAGGCGGGAGGAAUUCCGGGUGUAGCGGUGGAAUGCGUAGAGAUCCGGAAGAACACCAGUGGCGAAGGCGGCCCGCUGGGCAGUGGCUGACGCUGAGGCGCGACAGCGUGGGGAGCAAACAGG